CACCGCGGUUAUACGAGAGGCCCAAGUUGACAGCCCCCGGCGUAAAGAGUGGUUAGGAGACAAUAUGAAACUAAAGCCGAACACUCUCAGGACUGUUAUACGUGUCCGAGAGCAAGAAGCCCCCCCCACGAAAGUGGCUUUAACUCUUCUGAACCCACGAAAGCUGGGAAA
This 171-nucleotide ribosomal RNA is filed under the name Hypoatherina lunata (Okinawan silverside). RNAcentral describes it as "partial 12S rRNA". Lineage: Eukaryota; Metazoa; Chordata; Actinopteri; Atheriniformes; Atherinidae. The record is from RNAcentral.